RNAcentral lists this ribosomal RNA (407 nucleotides) under uncultured bacterium. RNAcentral's name for it is "partial 16S ribosomal RNA". It matches the Rfam family "Bacterial small subunit ribosomal RNA", at positions 29 to 526 of the family's 1533-position model. The record is from RNAcentral.
AUUGAACGCUGGCGGCAGGCCUAACACAUGCAAGUCGAGCGGAGCGGCGGCCGGGUGAGUAAUGCCUAGGAAUCUGCCUGGUAUUGGGGGAUCACGUCCGGACACGGGCGCUAAUACCGCAUACUAUCAGAUGAGCCUAGGUCGGAUUAGCUAGUUGGUGGGGUAAAGGCCUACCAAGGCGACGAUCCGUAACUGGUCUGAGAGGAGGAUCAGUCACACGGGAACUGAGAAACGGGCCAGACGCCGACGGGAGGCAGCAGGGGGGAAUAUUGGACAAAGGGCGAAAGCCUGAUCCAGCCAUGCCGAGUGUGUGAAGAAGGGCUUCGGAGUGUAAAGCACUUUAAGUUGGGAGGCGUUACCAACAGAAUAAGCACCGGCGAACUUCGGGCCAGCAGCCGCGGUAAUUC